UAAGGGGGGAGAACUACUGAGGGAAGAGAGGAGAGAUAUUUUCAUUCUUAAUAGCAGAGUUGUCCUCUGGUGAGGAUUAGGGAUCGUGGAAGGACGGUCCGGAUGUUGGGUAGAGGGUGGAGGCAGGCUGCGGGAUUGUGGACAUCUAGAAGAGGCAUUCCUUGCAAUGCUGCAGUUGUGGAUUCACAGACAGCGGAUGGACGGAUGAAAGGAGGAAAGAGAGCGACUCAUCUUGUGGUCAACUCACCAUAUAUGAACGGAUACUGGGAAAGGAAGCAUGUGCUGGGUGAUGCAGGCUGUGUUAUGCAUGUGAGUAAGUGUACUAUGCCUGUGCUCUUUGAUGGAGGCACAGUUAUUCCAUUUCCCGUCACAUCAGAGGAAUGCAGGGUGAGAUUCCUGCUAUGUGAGUCGUGCCCUCUCACCUGCCAUCAUCAUACAGAUACUAUUUCAACCUUCCAUUUCCUCCUCGGCCGGGAAAUUCCCCAGUUUUACUCAGGGAGGAAGUUACAUAGUUUGCAUGAGCUGCGUUCUGGUCAUAAUUGGAUAUUUCAAGUUACAAACCUAUGUUCCUAUUUCCUCUACACACAAUUUAUUUUGCUUAUUUGAAGGAGUUCAGGAGUUUAUUCCAGUCAGUAAAUGAGGGUGGUGUUUUCACUUCAUUUUAGAGUACCGACGUAUAAGCAUGGACGAAAUAAAUCUGGAGUAUUAUGUGGGUGUAAAUGGAGUAAUUGCUUGUUUGCACUUACGAGAGCAAGGAUGCUUUGUCAUGCUGGGUCUGUAAUGUGUGUGUGUGUGUGUGUGUGAGAGAGAGAGAGAGAGAGAGAGGAGGGAGCUGCUACUUUAAAUUUUUAUUUCCUGUUUGGUUAAUUAUCUUCUAAAGCUUGUGAAACAUUCACAUCCUUAUAACUUACUGUAAAUAUAGUUAUUAAUACAAUGCAUCUGUGUCUAUCUAAGUGCGUGUGUGUGUGUGUGUGUGUGAGCCUGUGAUGACUCAGUUACAACAAUGACGCUGGCAGAGCAGUGGAUGAAUAGCUCACACUGACUGUAAAAAGCAGAGAGAAAGAGAGAGAGAAAGAGAAAGAGAGAGAGAGAGAGAGAGAGAGGGCUGUGCUCUCCCUGGAAUCUCCAUCUCAUAACUCCUCUCCUGCUCAGUGCGUUCACACACUCACAAACACACACUCAUACAGAGAGGAGACAGCCCUGAGGACUUCAGCACCUACAGUAUAAUACAGCACUCUUCAGUACAGUACAGGACGGGUCUGGCUUUCAGUCGGAGCUGCAAGUGUGAAGAUUUCUCCAGGGAGGAAAUAAUGUGGUAGGUGACCGAUCAUUUGCAACAGGUUAGUGUUUUAUCACCGCACUUGUGUAUGUGUUCAUUUCACUUGGUUAUUCCAUGUUAGAAAGACAGAGAUGCUGUUUUAAUUAGACUGCUUUCGCAACUUGUGUUAAAUUGCAUACAUUUAUGGGGUGUUACGGAAAGUGAUGUGGCUGUUUCACUUUCAGUGUACUUCUGAACCACAGCCAGUCACCUGUAGCCAUGUCGAGUGACGGAUUUCUGUCAUGUCUUGAUAAAAGUUUCUGUCAAAGCUUGUUUGUAAAAUGUAUUUUUACGUGAGUAUUAUUUACUGGAAAAGUAAACCACUCUGCCAUAGACAAGAUGAACUAGUUUGUGCUGAUGGAGGACAUUAAUCAACAAUCUUUCCAGGAGGACAUCCAGCAGUGAUAAAAGCAUCAGAUUCAGUCCUCCUGUGCAGCCCUCUUUCUCUCUGCCUGUGCUGUAAAUGUGAUGAGUCUGUGAGAUUGAUUUUCAUGGCUCAACAUUCUUCCUUUAUACUAAAUGAUCUUGGAUAUAUGUGUGUGUCCAUACAGCACUUCCUGUCUUUAUUUUGCUCUCUUGCUCUCAUACCUAAAUGUUGCAUUAUGUGAGUGCCAGAUGACCACACCUGGAUCCUGUCCUACAUUGGUGCGGGUAAAUAUAGAUACACAACACACUCCCUGCAAACCUCAUUCUGUCAUUUAAAUCCUUUCGUGUGAUGAAGUCUUCUUUUGUCUGCACAGUCACUGAUCUUAGGCAAGGCGAUAAAGGUCCAGGCUAAUUAACGACAGACUGGCAAGUCUGUAAAAUCCCCUGGUAACUCAUACUGCAGCAUGAAAUACAGUGACAUUUAUUUCCCCAUUUUGACAAAAGUAUUUCAAGUCUUUUGCGCUCGUCGGCAGUACAUACAGUAUGUUGUCAUAUACAGGAGACUGUCUGCCGGUGUUUGUGUUAGCUGCUUCUUCAAAAUGAAAAGCACAGGAAAUAAUUUUUAUGACUCAUCUGUCACAUGGUUGAUUGUUGCUUGAAGCAAAGGAGGAGUUGCUGUCUUGGCACAUGAUGCUCAUCUCAUUUUAAGUGUUGACAUCAUAGAUGGUAUAUGUACAUGGAGAUUGAUCUUCAGUUCAGUGUCCUGUAGUUUAAGAAAGUUGGGGAUGGGUUUCCUCCAUCUGGUCGAAUGUCUAGAGCCUUACUGGGUUUCUUAUCCUUAUCCCGUCCUGUAGAUUCCUAUCAAACCUCUCUUGAAGCAACAGUUAGUGAUCUGUCCAUUUAAUAUAUAGAGCCAACAGUCGGUUAGCUUAGCUAAGCAUAAAUACUGGAAACUCCAUCCAAACACAACAAAAUCCACCAACCAGCACCUCUUAAGCUCACUAAAACCACAACUUUGGGUGUGUAUAGAUUAAACAAACAUAUAUAACAUACAUCCAGUCUCAGCUAAGAUGGAUUUCAUUUUUGUGUCAUGCACAGAGAGUGUCCAGCCAUCGCGGGUUUACAAGACACCACAAAUACAGUCGCAGCGGUCCAACAUUUAAUUUCAUUCUAAAAUUACAGAUUAUUAUACAGCUUGGUUUAAAACAAAAUAUUCUGCCUUCUCUUCCAAACUUGACAUAUAAAAUUUGCUACAAAAAAAGGUUUCCAUCCUAAAGCACAAAGAAAUCCUCAUAAAUGAAAGACAUUUUAUUAAAAAGAACAUCCCUUAUGUCUCCGUCUCAUUCUCAGUUUCACCUAAAUCACACAACAAACAAAGUCUGUUCUCCUCUGGAGUGGCAUUACAUCUCCCCGUCUCUAAGGUAACUGGCUGUUGGCCUCAUAUUUAACGGACAGAUAUGAGAGCGAUAACAAACUUCUUAUAUAACUCACAGCAAGGAAGCAAAUCAGUGCAAAUAAUUUCCUAAAAAUACUGAACUACUCCAUCAACCUAGACUUCUUUGAUGAUGCUAAUAUGUGACUGUGUGUCACAUGAGCAAAUAUCAUCUGAGAAUGAUCCACCAGUAAUUCCUCUCCUUUUUAUCAAAGUAAAAGUGCUGUUUUUGAGGGUAAAUGCUUCAAAUAAUCAGUUUCAAUCACCCCAAGGUGUGGCUGAUUCAUGUUCCCCUCACCUGCUGAACGUCAAACUGAUCCAAUUUAUCAGUCAAUACUUCAGGAACCUAAAUGUCAAUUCUGCUUCGCUUGGGUCAACAAGCCUCCGUUCAUGUCAUGAUGAAUAGGAAACCUUUCUACUAGAUUCACUUCCUUCCCCCAUCUCUCUUCCUCACGAGCACAUGAUUGCCCACAUUCAUGGGGUUAUACCCUCCGCCAUUAAGGAUAAUUGCUCUGGUUGCCCUAGGUGUGAACUCACUUAAGUAGGAUGAGGAGCGUUCAGUCUGAUACAAAGAUGAAGCUGCAACGAGAGACACGCACCACCUCGAGGAAGAGCUCAGGGGAACGAUACAUUACAACCAUUAUAUCCUCCUCCUCCUCCUCCUCCUCCUCCAUGAAGCAGAGUCUCUUGACUUCUUGGGUGCUUGAUGACUCCAGACAAAAAUAUAGUGAUGAGAGUCAAAUUGAUGACUACGGUUUCUUUGGAUGCCUCCCUGGGUCUCACUCAUUUAGCUUUGGCUCAGUCAUCAUCCCAUGUAGUUGAUGCAGAGCGCUUACUAUCAAACCCAGAGGAGGGUAGAAUUUAAUUUCCUUUCUCUUAACUCAUCCAGGGCGGUUUUUGUGUGAUGUCGCAACAUUGCAGUUAGACAAAUCUUUUCCUUGAAUGGAAACAUGUAUUAUCCUUUAUCUUUUUUGUCUGUGCAUGAUGUAUUUAUAUUUAUUUAGAUGAGAUUUGGCCUGUGAAUGUGGUAGAAAGGAAGUGGAAGAGGAGGUGUUAUAAACAGUGUGUCAUAUGAUAAACCUUCAGCCCUUCAGCUCCUGUUCAAAUGAAGCCAUCUGGGAACAAACAUGAGUCAUAGAUCCUAUGGUGGAUUAUACCCGCUAGACCUGAUACCUUUAUUGCACAUCUAAUAUCAACAGUCUCACAGUCAGCUCAGACCUGAUUAUUCAACCGUAAUGCAUGUAUUUAUACACUCGUCGUUUCUCUUCCAGUCCACUUGCCGCUCUGUCUUUGCUAUAUUGUUCUGUUUUCGCAGUAAUUAAUAUCAUGCAAGCAACAUCACAACACCCUUUUUAACCAGUUUUUAACCUGCAGACAACCUGAAAGGAGGAGUGUCCUUGUAAGAUGAUGACUGAUUCUGCCUGCUUAUGAGAGGGGCAGCGGUGAGACGUCCAGCUUCUGCAGUAACUCAUACUCAGUUUGUCCUUUUCACCAGCACCUUCCUCCUCUAAGGUUCACUGUAUGGGUAGAUGCUGCUGGCUCUAGAUACGUUUCCUGGUUCUCCUUUGCACUUCAAAGAGGAGGGUGAAGUGAGGGAGUUACAAUCUGCAACCAAACUGCUAGAUGCCACUAAAUCCUACACACUGGACCUUUCGAGAAACAGUUUGACAUUUUUAGAAACACGCUGUUUGCUUUUUUGAGUUAGAGCUAAGAUUGACAUCACUCAUCACUACUUCUGUCUGUUAAAUAUGAAGCCACAGCCAGCAACCUUAGAGUGGAUGCCUGGUUCUGUCAAAAGGUAAUCCCCCUUCCAGCACCUCUAAAGCUCAUUAAUUUACACGUUAUAUCUCUUUGUUUAAUAGUAAAAAAACCCAAAGUUUUAAAAUAACAUGUUGUGCUUGUAGUGAGCUUUAGAGGAGCUGGUGUAUAUUGUUACAUUUGCACAGACCCAGGCUUGCUGCAUCCCCCAUCAUCUGCCAUUUAGCUUAGCUUAGCAUAAAGACUGGAAGUAGGGGGAAACUGCUAGCCUGGUUCUAUUGAAAGGUACCUACCAGCACAAAGCCUAAAGCUUAAUAAUUAACAUUUGUUUGUUUAAUCUGUACAGAAAUUAAAUUGUAAAAAUUACAAGUCAUGAUUUAUAUAUUUCUGGGUACAGUGACACAUCCACCCAUAAAACCACAACUUGUCAUUUUUACUCUUUAGUUUUUGUACAAAUUAAAAAAAUAAGUAGUAGUGUAUUAAUCAGUGAAUGUAAGAGAACUGGCUGGCGAUUUUUUUUUACCUUCAGAGAGAGUCAGGCGAGUCGUUUCCCCCUCAUUCCUAUCUUAAUGCUAAACUAAGAUAACCUGCUGCUGGCUGUAACUUAAUAUAGCAAACAGGCAUGAGAGUAGAACCAAUCCUCUCAUCUAAUUUUAACCAAGAAAGCGAAUACGCAUAUUUCCCAAACUGUCAAACUAUUCCUUUAAAACACCCUCACCAAUCCUUUAAAUGACAUCUUGAUCAAAAAAUAACUUUUUUUCUCCAGACGUAUUCUGAUGUAGUCUGAAACCUGAUAUAAGUGGUGGACUGGUGGUGCUGUAUGCUGAUCCAAGUUGGUGUCUCUACAAAAAUAUCCCCUUCUUCCAUCACUGAUUUGGCUUUGGCUUUCAGUGUAACCACACCCUCUGCUGUUCAUUUGUAGAACUGGCUGCAGUGAGGGGAGCAAACACAGGACAGCUUCCCUCUUCAAACAACACAUUUGACCUACAUAUGCACCCAAUUAGCAACAGGAGGCUCACCCGUCCAUAUUACACUAUAUCAAAGACCUCUUUUUCUGUAUGCCAACAUGUCUUGUAUUGCAUGUUUCAAGCGUAACGGACUGUGAAUCCGAAGACUUGUUGAGUUGACUGCACUCAGAAACUGAUUUCAUUUGGUGGCGUAGAUGUUUGUACGCUGUCUCUAGCACCAUAUGAAAUCAGUGUUCUGGGAGGUGGACUAUCAGCAUGUACAGACGUUGUACAAUGAAUAAACUGAAAUUUGAGAUGUUCUUGUAAUGCCAAAAAAGUAGGUCACAUUUGUAUAAAUUACUGUACUUGCUGCUUCAUCCAUUCACUAACUGGUCGCAGCUGCUGUCCUGCUUCUUGUUAAAUCUUUUUUUUUCCCCCCCUUUCUGCGUCUCCUUUCAAACAUACCUUUAUCAUGAAAUAGUUUGGUUUUUUAAUGCAUUUUGGAUAUUUAUGCUAAAGUAUGUAACUUUUCCUAAAUAGUGGCUUAACUGGCAAUAAAGAGAUACAUGUAAAUGCAUUGAUGUCCUUUAUUCAACAAUAUCUGUCUAUAGUUUGUUAACAUUAACAUUAGCCACCAUAGGUUACAGGUCAUAGCAGACCAAGUGAGGCUGUAGCAGCUGGUAGUGGAGUAUACUGAACUGAGAUUCACAGCAUUGGAUUGCCUUUGAAUUCAACUUUUCAUUUGUAAGAGGAAGAACACUGUUUUUCUUACUUUAAAUAGUCUUACUUUAAAGGCUCAUUCUCUGAUUGAAGUCUGGUACUAGCAUUCUUUUCAUCCCCCAUCAUUACAGUUUUCUCUGUAUAGUAUUUUUUCUUUCUACCGAUUAUGAAAUGUACUAUUAAGAUUUUAUCAAAAAGUGACAGAUACUUUAUACAGUUUUGAGGAAAUUAAAGGUUGCUAUACAUACACCUGUAUUUUGUGGUAUCAAAAGUGUGAACUGAUAUGAAGAUGUUUGUUGUGUCCUUUAUAAAUGUCACAGCACCAGAUAAAAUAUCAAUAAAGUGCUUCAGUGCAGCUA
Long non-coding RNA from Dicentrarchus labrax (European seabass), 6900 nucleotides. RefSeq lists it as uncharacterized. The transcript has 2 exons. The record is from RefSeq and is a predicted model, not a curated record. Lineage: Eukaryota; Metazoa; Chordata; Actinopteri; Moronidae.